GAGUUUGAUCGUGGCUCAGGAUGAACGCUAGCGGCAGGCUUAACACAUGCAAGUCGAGGGGUAUAGUUUUCGGACUAGAGACCGGCGCACGGGUGCGUAACGCGUAUGCAAUCUACCUUUACAGGGGAUAGCCCAGAGAAAUUUGGAUUAAUACCCCAUAGUAUAGCACUAUCGCAUGAUAGUGUUAUUAAAGUUCCAACGGUAAAGAUGAGCAUGCGUCCCAUUAGCUAGAUGGUAAGGUAAC
RNAcentral lists this ribosomal RNA (244 nucleotides) under uncultured Flavobacterium sp. RNAcentral describes it as "partial 16S ribosomal RNA". It matches the Rfam family "Bacterial small subunit ribosomal RNA", at positions 9 to 261 of the family's 1533-position model. Lineage: Bacteria; Pseudomonadati; Bacteroidota; Flavobacteriia; Flavobacteriales; Flavobacteriaceae. The record is from RNAcentral.